RNAcentral lists this ribosomal RNA (465 nucleotides) under uncultured bacterium. Its description in RNAcentral is "partial 16S ribosomal RNA". It matches the Rfam family "Bacterial small subunit ribosomal RNA", at positions 28 to 507 of the family's 1533-position model. The record is from RNAcentral.
GACGAACGCUGGCGGCGUGCUUAACACAUGCAAGUCGAACGGAAAGGCCCUGCUUGCAGGGUACUCGAGUGGCGAACGGGUGAGUAACACGUGGGUGAUCUGCCCUGCACUUCGGGAUAAGCCUGGGAAACUGGGUCUAAUACCGGAUAGGAGCCAUUUUUAGCGUGAUGGUUGGAAAGUUUUUUCGGUGUAGGAUGAGCUCGCGGCCUAUCAGCUUGUUGGUGGGGUAAUGGCCUACCAAGGCGGCGACGGGUAGCCGGCCUGCGAGGGUGGACGGCCACAUUGGGACUGAGAGACGGCCCAGACUCCUACGGGAGGCAGCAGUGGGGAAUAUUGCACAAUGGGCGCAAGCCUGAUGCAGCGACGCCGCGUGGGGGAUGACGGCCUUCGGGUUGUAAACUCCUUUCGCUAGGGACGAAGCUUUUUGUGACGGUACCUAGAUAAGAAGCACCGGCUAACUACGUG